AAGACUGGCUCGAUUGGGGACCGGGUUGUACUCGUCCAGCAACGUUUCAGACGGGCCGAGAGGCUCGUUUUCAUCGGUUAACGGCUGGCUGCCAAGAAGAAAAAAAAAAAUAAUCUAUUCGUGGAACACACGCUUUUGCUUUCCUUCCAGUUUUCUUUCAACCGCAUCAGCGCGCCGUGUGUUACGGAGAUGCAGAACGAAAGCAAAGAGACAGGCCCGCGUCGGUGGCAAUGUCACGACGCCUUCCCGGUGGUUAUAAAUAAUACUAGUCGAAUGAGAAACGACGACACCCAACUGCCGCCCAUCGACCCCGAUCGCCAAGAGAACGAAGAGCAACGUAACUCUGUCUGGGCCGUCGUUGAUGAGGUGUGUAUUUUGGAGCGGGAAAACUUUGUCGGUAAGGUAGACAGAACAGCAAAGUCCGUCCCUUUUUGGCCGAUCUUCGUCGACGGACAACAACAAGAUUUUCAACCCGUCGUCGUCUUAGCGUCAACAACACAACACGUGUGACAACGACCCAUUAUUACGACUGUCCUUUCUAACACUAACGAGCGAAACAUAAAGAAAAGAAAAGAAAAAAAGAAAAACUCUAGUGUCACUAUAUUUUCCCGACAGCGUGUUUAGUCGGCCUAGCAACAGACGCAGUUGGUAACGUGUAGCAAAUAUAAGGAAGCAGAUCGCUAAGUGCCCAUGAAAGUAUUGCCUCUCGUAAAAAAACAAAAAAAAACAAGAGUCUACGAACGGUAGAACAACAACCUACCUUGUUCUUUUUUUCUUUUCUGUUAUUUACUAUGUCCUUAUUAUCUGGCCGCCAUUAUUACAAACGUACGCUAUGUCCAUCAUCCAUCUAUGCACUCGACUUUUUGUUUUGUUUGAUUCAAAGUGCAGGCCAUAAGACAAGCAAAAGGCGGGCAAGUCUAUACGGAACAGACGAAAUCAAUCAGACUAUGUUUUUCAGUGAGCUUCUCUUUGACGUUGCCGCAUACGAAAUACAACUUGUUGGAAAUGCCCCGAAUAAAGAAAGUAAUCUUUC
Molecule: long non-coding RNA, 1033 nt
Filed under: Daphnia magna
Lineage: Eukaryota; Metazoa; Arthropoda; Branchiopoda; Diplostraca; Daphniidae
Description: uncharacterized LOC116918923, transcript variant X2
Source: RNAcentral